This 613-nucleotide ribosomal RNA is filed under the name uncultured Lysobacter sp. RNAcentral describes it as "bacterial SSU rRNA". It matches the Rfam family "Bacterial small subunit ribosomal RNA", at positions 111 to 719 of the family's 1533-position model. Lineage: Bacteria; Pseudomonadati; Pseudomonadota; Gammaproteobacteria; Lysobacterales; Lysobacteraceae. The record is from RNAcentral.
GAAUACAUCGGAAUCUGCCCAGUCGUGGGGGAUAACUUAGGGAAACUUAAGCUAAUACCGCAUACGACCUACGGGUGAAAGAGGGGGAUCGCAAGACCUCUCGCGAUUGGAUGAGCCGAUGUCGGAUUAGCUUGUUGGCGGGGUAACGGCCCACCAAGGCGACGAUCCGUAGCUGGUCUGAGAGGAUGAUCAGCCACACUGGAACUGAGACACGGUCCAGACUCCUACGGGAGGCANCAGUGGGGAAUAUUGGACAAUGGGCGCAAGCCUGAUCCAGCCAUGCCGCGUGAGUGAAGAAGGCCCUCGGGUUGUAAAGCUCUUUUGUCCGGAAAGAAAAGCACUCGGCCAAUACCCGGGUGUCCUGACGGUACCGGAAGAAUAAGCACCGGCUAACUUCGUGCCAGCAGCCGCGGUAAUACGAAGGGUGCAAGCGUUACUCGGAAUUACUGGGCGUAAAGCGUGCGUAGGUGGUUCGUUAAGUCUGAUGUGAAAGCCCUGGGCUCNACCUGGGAAUUGCAUUGGAUACUGGCGGGCUAGAGUGCGGUAGAGGAUGGCGGAAUUCCCGGUGUAGCAGUGAAAUGCGUANAGAUCGGGAGGAACAUCCGUGGGCGAA